AGGACGAACGCUGGCGGCGUGCUUAACACAUGCAAGUCGAGCGGUAAGGCCUUUCGGGGUACACGAGCGGCGAACGGGUGAGUAACACGUGGGUGAUCUGCCCUGCACUUCGGGAUAAGCCUGGGAAACUGGGUCUAAUACCGGAUAUGACCUCAGGUUGCAUGACUUGGGGUGGAAAGAUUUAUCGGUGCAGGAUGGGCCCGCGGCCUAUCAGCUUGUUGGUGGGGUAAUGGCCUACCAAGGCGACGACGGGUAGCCGACCUGAGAGGGUGACCGGCCACGACUGGGACUGAGACACGGCCCAGACUCCUACGGGAGGCAGCAGUGGGAAUAUGCACAAUGGGCGAAAGCCUGAUGCAGCGACGCCGCGUGAGGGAUGACGGCCUUCGGGUUGUAAACCUCUUUCAGCGAGGACGAAGCGCAAGUGACGUACUGCAGAGAAGCAACGCUAACACGUGCCAGCAGCCGA
RNAcentral lists this ribosomal RNA (469 nucleotides) under uncultured soil bacterium. Its description in RNAcentral is "bacterial SSU rRNA". It matches the Rfam family "Bacterial small subunit ribosomal RNA", at positions 26 to 518 of the family's 1533-position model. The record is from RNAcentral.